RNAcentral lists this ribosomal RNA (407 nucleotides) under uncultured bacterium. RNAcentral describes it as "partial 16S ribosomal RNA". It matches the Rfam family "Bacterial small subunit ribosomal RNA", at positions 28 to 526 of the family's 1533-position model. The record is from RNAcentral.
GACGAACGCUGGCGGCGUGCCUAAUACAUGCAAGUAGAACGCAGUUGCGAACGGGUGAGUAACGCGUAGGUAACUGCCUGGUAGCGGGGGAUAACUAUUGGAAACGAUAGCUAAUACCGCAUACUACCAGAUGGACCUGCGUUGUAUUAGCUAGUUGGUGAGGUAACGGCUCACCAAGGCAACGAUACAUAGCCGACCUUGGAGGGUGAUCGGCCAAACUGGGACUGGGACACGGCCCAGACUCCUAAGGGAGGGAGGAGUAGGGAAACUUCGGCAAUGGGGGGAAACCUGACCGAGCAACGCCGCGGGAGUGAAGAAGGGUUUCGGAUCGUAAAGGUCUGUUGUUAAGGAAGCGGUACUUAACCAGAAAGGGACGGCUAACUACGUGCCAGCAGCCGCGGUAAUUC